This 482-nucleotide ribosomal RNA is filed under the name uncultured bacterium. RNAcentral's name for it is "partial 16S ribosomal RNA". It matches the Rfam family "Bacterial small subunit ribosomal RNA", at positions 30 to 507 of the family's 1533-position model. The record is from RNAcentral.
UGAACGCUGGCGGCAGGCCUACCACAUGCAAGUCGCGCGGAUGAAGGGAGCUUGCUCCUGGAUUCAGCGGCGGACGGGUGAGUAAUGCCUAGGAAUCUGCCUGGUAGUGGGGGAUAACGUCCGGAAACGGGCGCUAAUACCGCAUACGUCCUGAGGGAGAAAGUGGGGGAUCUUCGGACCUCACGCUAUCAGAUGAGCCUAGGUCGGAUUAGCUAGUUGGUGGGGUAAAGGCCUACCAAGGCGACGAUCCGUAACUGGUCUGAGAGGAUGAUCAGUCACACUGGAACUGAGACACGGUCCAGACUCCUACGGGAGGCAGCAGUGGGGAAUAUUGGACAAUGGGCGAAAGCCUGAUCCAGCCAUGCCGCGUGUGUGAAGAAGGUCUUCGGAUUGUAAAGCACUUUAAGUUGGGAGGAAGGGCAGUAAGUUAAUACCUUGCUGUUUUGACGUUACCAACAGAAUAAGCACCGGCUAACUUCGUG